Molecule: ribosomal RNA, 499 nt
Filed under: uncultured bacterium
Lineage: Bacteria
Description: partial 16S ribosomal RNA
Rfam family: Bacterial small subunit ribosomal RNA
Source: RNAcentral
UGGGGAAUAUUGGACAAUGGGGGCAACCCUGAUCCAGCAAUGCCGCGUGUGUGAAGAAGGUCUUCGGAUUGUAAAGCACUUUCGACGGGGACGAUGAUGACGGUACCCGUAGAAGAAGCCCCGGCUAACUUCGUGCCAGCAGCCGCGGUAAUACGAAGGGGGCUAGCGUUGCUCGGAAUGACUGGGCGUAAAGGGCGUGUAGGCGGUUUACACAGUCAGAUGUGAAAUCCCCGGGCUUAACCUGGGAGCUGCAUUUGAUACGUGUAGACUAGAGUGUGAGAGAGGGUUGUGGAAUUCCCAGUGUAGAGGUGAAAUUCGUAGAUAUUGGGAAGAACACCGGUGGCGAAGGCGGCAACCUGGCUCAUGACUGACGCUGAGGCGCGAAAGCGUGGGGAGCAAACAGGAUUAGAUACCCUGGUAGUCCACGCUGUAAACGAUGUGUGCUAGAUGUUGGGUAACUUUGUUAUUCAGUGUCGCAGUUAACGCGUUAAGCACACCG